CGAUUUGCCGUUUGAGCCCACACUUCAGCGUAUUGGGUAGAUGGGGCUGGACAAAGGAGCUGUGUGGAGAGCCAGAACCAAUCCUCACACGAAAACACAGCGCACCAGGACCAAUCCUUUACCGUCCUCGAGCCCCACGCCACUCUUCUCCCAUCCGCGUCGUCCGGCCUCCCCUGCUCCUCGGUCCCCCGCCGCCUCACGGCCUCUCGCACCGCUGCCUUUUCUCCCGGCCUCUUCCCCGGCGCUCGAGGUGCAGUAGCGUGGGCGCUGCCACGUUCUCGAUCCAGUCGGAUCUGGCGCAGGUCGCCGGCAUCCGGCACCGCGCGCCGUGAUUCCAGAUCGGGCGUAGGUCGCCGGCAGGAGAGCAGGAGCGGCUGCUGCAGCGAGUGCAGUGGAGGAUCCUACCCUGGUCAAGCCCCACCCCGGCGGCUGCGUGCAGAAGAGGAGCGGUCGAGGAUGGCCGGCAGUUCGUGGAGGAGACGCUCGGCACAGAUAGGGAUAGCGAGGAGGAGGUUGUCCCCGCGAGGAGGCAACGUGAGGCUGCACGGGCGCCUCCCCAUGUGUGCAUCUACCGAGAAUGGAUGGACUCAAGUGGGUAAGGACGCCAUCAGCACGUGAUAAGAUUAGGUGCUGGGUACCACAUCCGCCCAAAUCCAAGGUCUCAAGCCACACAGGUCAGCUUCUACUUCAUACAUGAUUUCUUCAUCUCAGUUGUACCAGAAUAGAAAGCCAUGCCUCUGCCUUCACCAAGAGUAGUAUUUUCUGCAGGUUUUCCACCAUCUCCUACUGACCACGCAUGCCUCAUAAUUUGGUGGAUGUACCAUUUAUGUAGCUUUAUUCACUAGGCAUGGAGAUGGGGCUGUCGCUUUGGUUGUAGCCAUUCAUAUGCAUACACGCAAGGAUGGAGAUUUCAGUUGUGCUUACCUCGACAAAAUAUCAUUGUUGGUAGCAUAGCCAUAUCAUUGUACUUGGCAUCUACCUUACUGUAUUAGGAUUCUUAAUGUUUCAUGAGGUUUUAUUUUGUGAGUUCUGGUAUUAUUUGUUAUAAUUGCGUGAAACUAUUUCUGAACCUAUAUGACAUAAAUUUAGUGUUACCAGUCUGGAAGUUAUGAUAGCAAUGGUUUUAACAUUUUCAUGUUUUAUCUUUUUUGUAAUCAUAUCACUUGCGGGGAAUAUGUUCAGAUGUCUCGUGCUUGGAAAGGGCCCAUUACACAUAUCAUGGAAACAAGAUCUAUUUUUGUAUUUUUGUAAUCAUUAAACAUAUCAGAUGUCUCGUGUUUGGAAUGUGCAAGCUGAACUCCUCUAUCAUUGGCGUUAAUCUUCCAAUCAACAAGGUAAAUGGGAUACAAUAUAUAAUCCAUGACUCUUUCCUCGAUUCCUUUUACAUUAUCGAAUCUGACGGUCACCAUUAUUAACCAUCACAUAUUAGUAUUAGGAUUGAAUCUUCUGUGCUAUUGCAUUUGUUUAGAGAAGUUUUGACCUAUACUUUCAGGAACAGUCCACCGGUCAGUUUCUUCGUGUAAAAGGAAUUGAGAAAGUCAUGGAUUUGUACGAUUGAAUGUUUGUGUUGCUGCAUUUGUUCAGAGAAGUUUUGACCUGUACUUCCAGGAACAGUCCACCGGUUGUCAAUGCAGUCCAUAGAGAACAAGUUGCUAAAAAAAUAUGGGAUGCAGUUAGCCUAAGAGUGACCACUUAGGCACUUACCAAAUUUUUGUUAAAUUACAAAUGGAAUCCACUACCAUACAUGUUCGCAUUAGUGAUAUGUUCAUUUCUCCCCUGGAUAGUUAUCAAUGCAGUCCAUAGAGAACAAGUUGCUAAAAGAAUAUGGGAUGCAGUUAGCCUAUGAGUGACCACUUACCAAAAUUUUGCUAAAUUACAAAUGGAAUCCACAGUACAAUAUUGUACUUUUAUCAAAUUGCAUAAAUCAGUGUACUAUUUUCAUGAAUAUUAUGCAGGGAGCUCCAUUCUACCUUGGUUGCUUCAAAUAAAAAAUCUGCCGACUGAAAGUAUGUCAGUUGGUUAUUGGUGCUCUUGGCCCUUUAUGCUUAUUGGUUAUUUGCUUCAUGUGGUUUCCAUUUUUAACUACAUGGGCAAUUUUAAUUUCAGUGUUUAUAUAUCUAUCAGUUCUCGUGCUCAUUGUAGAUUAUGCAAUACAAUUAUGUUCAGAGGAGCUUUAGAGUAAAGACUAACCAGUACAAGACCUGUUUUUGCAAGGGCCAUUACACAUAUCAUGGAAACAAGAUGGUUAUUGAUUUAUGCUGCACAAUGCCCUAUCUAUGUUCAGAAUAUAUUCAUGUCUGAAUAAUACAAUUAGAAGCGAUAGAAGUGUUCGCUGAAAUGGAUUUUCUUACUCAACACAAUAUAUUGGCGAGCUUGAAAAAAAUAACUUGAAGCAAAGGAUGGAGAGUAUAUCUCAACAACAAGUAAUUAAACAUGAAUUGAGGACAUUGUGCAUUCAUUGACAUUAACAAGGACCUGAGCAUGCAUUCCUGAAGUAAGUCUGAUGGUUAGCUUAGCAGUGUGUACAAGCAUAGGAAUUUUUUGCUAUGUACUUUGCAGGCUGAUUUUAGAUAUUGAAAGAAGGUUUAGUCGAUAGAAUGUACCAUAAAAACCUUACGCAUCUACUCUUUCUUUAUUUUUUCAUUGCUUUCAAGAUUAUCAGUUCCCACUAGGUAUGUUCACUUCAGGUUGUGGUGUUGAGCCUUCAGCGUUACACUCUGAAUAUUUAACCAUUAGAUGACUGAACCUAUAAACCUCUUAAAAAUGCAUUGUUACUUUUUAUGUUGAAUUAAACUUAUUCAGUUUAUGAACAUUUGUACAUGCUGCUACAAAGCAUAAAAAGGGGGGAAAUAAAAAUUCAUUUGCUGACUGUUCUUGCAUCGAUAGUUUUGUGGUGCAAAAUAGGAACUAAGAGGCUCACUUGUAGUAUUAGACUGUCUAUGUUACAGCCAGCACGUUCCAUUUUGUUUCUACAUAUUGUUCGCUAAAGAAGGUUGCAGAGAUAUCGCUAUGGAGAAGAAAAACGUGGUGAGAUGGGGAUUACAGUUUAUUGCAAACUUAGAUGGGAUUAUAGUUUUUGUUUUUUUGUUGGUCAUGUUUUCUUAGGAUAAUUCAUUGAUAGCUGAUCUUGUUGUCUACAGAUUUUCUUAGAAUUGUACCAACAUUGUUCAUACUACUGCUUGUGGGGUUAUCCCCCUGAUUUUGUUAGGAAGCUUUGCUUAUAGUUACCUGCAAAUUGCUCUUGGAUGCGUGAGAUCAUUUAGUUUCGGAUCCAUGCUUGUGUGGUUUGCUCGUGCAUGCCAUCUCUUUUGGCGGUCGGUGUGCAGUCCAUGCUACCUGCUUCUUCUUCUUAUUUGCUUGUUCAUUAUUUAUAUAUGAUCAACUCAGAUGGGGUUGCCUUCUGAAUUUAGCAUGACAACUAUUGAUGUUGGUGUAGUAUGCUUCCUCAUCCGGCAGACCACCACCUACUUCAGUAUGUGUGCUUCUGAAUUUAGCACGACAACUAUUGAUGUUGCGUUAGUACGUUUUCUUUAGGAUCCAACGGGCGAACAUUUCCUCUUUACACAUGAAAUGCUUCUUCUCUUCUCACUAAUGAUCGCUAUUAUAAGCCUUUCAUUUUUCUCACUAAUGCAUGCAAGUUAAUUAACUAUCUAAUAGAAUGAAACUCUGCUUCUAGGGUCCAGUAGGUGUUUGUUGUUGCAUGUGCAAAUAGUGAUCCUUGUUGCUCACUGAUACAUGCAUGUUUAUUAACCUUUUCUGUUUUUCACUAAUGCAUACGACCUAAUUCACCAUCCAAUAAAAUGAACUUGUGCUUUCAGGGUUCCGUAGGUCUUUUCGCUGACUGUUUGCUUAUGUUGUAUUUAGGCUGUUCUUUUUCCGCUUUUUCAGAUGUAUGUCAUGUACGUGUAGCCGUGGUUCUAAAACAUCUCCAUUCUUUUUCUUCCUAUCAACGUACUUUGAUUCAGUUAUUUGACUAAGUAGUAUAUAUUAUAUUCCCAGGGUUAAUUAGUACCUAAAAUGCUACCUUUAGUUUCUGCAAUUGUUAUUAUGUUUCAUUGAUUCAGUCCUGUAGUUCAAUUGUUCCAGUGGAUUUUGCUAAAUUGUUUUCUAUCUUUAAUUAGUAAAUAAAAGGCCUCGGUUGGUUUCUGUAAUAAUUUCCUUCAAGCUCUCUAUAAUUGUUUAUUUAUUAGUUAUUACACAUAUAGAGUUCUUUAAUGUCUUUGUUUAUAAUAUGACAUUCCCUCAUUAGUUUUUUUGUUAUGUGGAGGGUAAUUUUCUUUUGCUGUGACUUGUGCUUUGUUAUGUGCAGGUUGCAGUCACAGGGACGAGCUGGCCGACCAUAUCAACAAGGUCAACGCAACAGAGUUGAAGGAAAUAUUAAGGUUGCUUUUGUCCUCUGAUCUGCUGUUUGGUCUUCAUCUAUUACUCUGUUGGUUCAUCAUCUGCUCGGUUGGAGGUUGUUUUUGGUCCUGCCAUUUGUUCUUGUUAGAGCUCACUAAAAUAUAACUUGAAGGUCCUCUGCAGUGCUGGUUUUUACUAAUUUUUGCUUUAAUCUAGAACAAUAGGCAGUAAUUCCACAUUUGUACUUGGCGUCCCGUGCUUUCUUGGAAUAAAUAUGUCCUGUUUUUAUUAGCUAUGAAGAUCAUUCUACCUUUCCGUCAGUGUGCACCUCCUUUGAUUCUGCAUCCUGUUAAUUUUGUAAAAAAUUCUGUUCCAUGUUUGCUUACAGUACAAGACAUACUUUCCUAACUUUUUUGUGUGAUAUAUCUGAAUGCUUUUGUAAUGCUAAUUUACUGUGUUGUUAAUCUGCAGCAAGGUGUUCUAUUUUCGAUUUCCGUUCUGACCGUUGGAUUCCUAUUCUUAUUUUUGUCUUCACUACUAGAGUUGAUUGAUGCGCCCCGUCGAAGUCUCAUUUCCAGGCGGGACACAACAUAGAACCGUAGCACCCCUAUGCUUGGGAAGCUCGACAUUUAUACAUUCCCCAUUGAUUGAGCAGUGUAUGACGACUGCGACUUUCCAAGAUUGGAGUCUCUUCCAGAAUUUCAAUUGUAAAAGCUCAUGCUUAAGAAAUGAGUAGUAGGGUAUAUUUUUCGUGUAGAGCUUAUUCGUGAAGCAACUAUUAUUGGGUAUUGUAAGAUGAUAGGGAAGGUUUCUGCUUUGCCAUUGACAGCCCACCGAACACACCCACCGCGAGGAGUUGCUUAGACGAUGAGGUCAUUUACGAUACCGAUGGCACAUGCUACAAUUAAUGACACUACCUGAUGUGAAUGACUUUAUAUCUUAGUUACCAUAAGCUGAGUGGCCAAAGCUAUCUAUACAAUGCAUCUCUGCCUAUGUAGCUUUGAAGAGAUCUCUUGCCUUUCUUUUGGCCUAUAAAGCGACCAGGCUAUGUAAUAUGCUAUGUAUGAACAUCAUAUCCAAAAGUCAAUUUUCUUAUGCUUCAA
Molecule: long non-coding RNA, 5444 nt
Organism: Triticum aestivum (bread wheat)
Lineage: Eukaryota; Viridiplantae; Streptophyta; Magnoliopsida; Poales; Poaceae
Exons: 5
Source: RefSeq, a predicted model, not a curated record